Molecule: ribosomal RNA, 441 nt
Filed under: uncultured bacterium
Lineage: Bacteria
Description: partial 16S ribosomal RNA
Rfam family: Bacterial small subunit ribosomal RNA
Source: RNAcentral
CCUACGGGUGGCAGCAGUGGGGAAUAUUGCACAAUGGGGGAAACCCUGAUGCAGCGACGCCGCGUGAGUGAAGAAGUAUUUCGGUAUGUAAAGCUCUAUCAGCAGGGAAGAAAAAAGGAGGUAACUGACUAAGAAGCCCCGGCUAACUACGUGCCAGCAGCCGCGGUAAUACGUAGGGGGCAAGGGUUAUUCGGAUUUACUGGGUGGAAAGGGAGCGUAGACGGCGCGGCAAGUCUGAAGUGAAAGGCAGGGGCUUAACCCCUGAACUGCUUUGGAAACUGCCAUGCUAGAGUGCUGGAGAGGUAAGUGGAAUUCCUAGUGUAGCGGUGAAAUGCGUAGAUAUCUGGAGGAACAUCAGUGGCGAAGGCGACUAUCUGGCACAUAACUGACGCUGAGGAGCGAAAGCGUGGGUAGCAAACAGGAUUAGAUACCCGGGUAGUC